This is a non-coding RNA of Cherax quadricarinatus, 982 nucleotides long. Lineage: Eukaryota; Metazoa; Arthropoda; Malacostraca; Decapoda; Parastacidae. The record is from RefSeq and is a predicted model, not a curated record.
UACAUCCUUCUGAUUUGUAUUGGACUGAUGAAGCCACUGUGUGGUGAAACGUUUCUUCAUUAAAGAUUCCCAUAUGUUGCAUAAGUGUCUCAAUCUUCAACUUGUCAGUCUUGAACCAAUUAUCACAACGUACGUAUUUCCUAAUGUCCUAAAUGCUGUUCAGUGAUUCUACCUUAUGUUUAACCUAAGUGAAUGUUUGUCUUUCAUUUAUUUUUCAAUACUGCAGGUUAAUAACCUACUAUAUAUUCUGUACUGUUAAUCAUCAACCCUGACAUACACAUGGAAAAUUUCUAUCAUAGCCAAAAUAGUUUUUUGCGACACAAUUCUUGGGAACAUAUUCUACUGCAUUAUACGAGGAUUUAUUGUAUUCUCAAAAUGCUUAAGCCAUAGAAUGUGUUUUUAAAGAAUCAUUUCAUUUCAUUACUUUUAUGCCCUUUUCUGGUCCUUCAUGUACAAUCACCAAAAUAAUUUAUCUGCACAUGAUUACUGUAAAAUUUAAUUUUGUCUCUCCUCCAGGUCACUCAGUCUGUGCUUAUCAGCUUCAGAAAUAUUCUCUAAAUAUUCUAAGAUACUGUAAUUAAAAACUAAGUUUUUAUCAGAUAAAGCCAGUGAAAGGAUUGAGUUGGGGGCAAGCUGCUAUUGGAAAUGCAACGUGGAGUGGGGCUCGCCUUUGUGAAGUUCUGAAAGACCUGGGCAUUGAGGAUGGUAAAACAGAUGCCUUGCAUGUUCAGUUUGAGGGCCUGGACACUGAUUCUGCCUAUAUGCCUUAUGGUGCAAGUAUUCCAAUUGAAAAGGCAUUAGACCCUCAUGGAGAUGUUAUUUUAGCAUAUGAGAUGAACGGAAAGCCCCUUUCUCGGGAUCAUGGAUAUCCACUCCGAGUUAUUGUACCAGGAGUAGUUGCUUCUAGAAGUGUCAAGUGGCUUGGUCUUCUUGCUUUGGUGGGAGAUGGCUGAUGUGUUAAUAAAAUAAAUAUUGUCUGUUA